This 250-nucleotide ribosomal RNA is filed under the name uncultured bacterium. RNAcentral's name for it is "partial 16S ribosomal RNA". It matches the Rfam family "Bacterial small subunit ribosomal RNA", at positions 104 to 339 of the family's 1533-position model. The record is from RNAcentral.
GGGUGAGUAAUACGUAGGUGACCUACCCAUUUGUGGGGAAUAACUUCGGGAAACUGGAGCUAAUACCGCAUGAGCUGAUAGACUUUGAAAGGAUAUCAGGAAAGAUGACCUCUCCUUGGAAGUUAUCGCAAGUGGAAGGGCCUGCGCGACAUUAGCUUGUUGGUGGGGUAAUGGCCUACCAAGGCUACGAUGUCUAGCUGGUCUGAGAGGAUGAUCAGCCACACUGGAACUGAGACACGGUCCAGACUCC